CACACAGCCACUGAGGAUGGAGCCAGGAUUUGAACCUGCAGUCCGAUCCCAGAGCCUAUACGCUUAACCACAGUGUCAUGCUAUCUUUCUCUUAAUCCACCCAGAAAUCCUAUAAUUCCUAUGCUUCCGGGAUACAUGGCAGUCAGCCUUUGAUCUUGGUGCCUCUGGUUAGCUGCAUGCUGCUGUUCUCCAAAGUGAAUAAUGACAAUGCCAUGUCUUCAAUGAGGCAGAACACCAACACUAAAUUGUGUCAUCGCUUCUCUCAUGCUGUAAAGUAGCAUGUGGUGGGCCCAGGAUCCCAGUCAGGGAAU
Lagenorhynchus albirostris (white-beaked dolphin) is the source of this 311-nucleotide long non-coding RNA. RefSeq lists it as uncharacterized. NCBI's taxonomy places the organism in Eukaryota, Metazoa, Chordata, Mammalia, Artiodactyla, Delphinidae. The transcript has 3 exons. The record is from RefSeq and is a predicted model, not a curated record.